AUUGAACGCUGGCGGCAUGCCUUACACAUGCAAGUCGAACGGCAGCACGGGAGCAAUCCUGGUGGCGAGUGGCGAACGGGUGAGUAAUAUAUCGGAACGUGCCCAGUCGUGGGGGAUAACGUAGCGAAAGCUACGCUAAUACCGCAUACGAUCUAAGGAUGAAAGCGGGGGAUCGCAAGACCUCGCGCGAUUGGAGCGGCUGAUAUCAGAUUAGGUUGUUGGUGAGGUAAAAGCUCACCAAGCCGACGAUCUGUAGCUGGUUUGAGAGGACGACCAGCCACACUGGAACUGAGACACGGUCCAGACUCCUACGGGAGGCAGCAGUGGGGAAUUUUGGACAAUGGACGCAAGUCUGAUCCAGCCAUUCCGCGUGCAGGAUGAAGGCCCUCGGGUUGUAAACUGCUUUGUACGGAACGAAAAGGUUUCUAUUAAUACUAGGAGCUCAUGACGGUACCGUAAGAAUAAGCACCGGCUAACUACGUG
RNAcentral lists this ribosomal RNA (483 nucleotides) under uncultured bacterium. RNAcentral's name for it is "bacterial SSU rRNA". It matches the Rfam family "Bacterial small subunit ribosomal RNA", at positions 30 to 507 of the family's 1533-position model. The record is from RNAcentral.